GACGGAAGGUGCAAGCGUUGCUCGGAAUCACUGGGCGUAAAGGGUGCGUAGGCGGCCGUGCAAGUCUGGUGUGAAAGCCCCGGGCUCAGCCCGGGAAGUGCGCUCGAAACUGCGCGGCUCGAGUGCCGGAGGGGAGAGUGGAAUUCCUGGUGUAGCGGUGAAAUGCGUAGAUAUCAGGAGGAAUACCGGUGGCGAAAGCGACUCUCUGGACGGUAACUGACGCUGAGGCACGAAAGCGUGGGGAGCAAACAGG
RNAcentral lists this ribosomal RNA (253 nucleotides) under uncultured bacterium. RNAcentral's name for it is "partial 16S ribosomal RNA". It matches the Rfam family "Bacterial small subunit ribosomal RNA", at positions 524 to 776 of the family's 1533-position model. The record is from RNAcentral.